CGGCAAUGAGGAUGAUCUUUUUCAAUGACUGUCAGUGAUUGAUUUAUACGCUAUUCUGAGCUGACC
This is a small nucleolar RNA of Bufo bufo (common toad), 66 nucleotides long. RefSeq annotates it as small nucleolar RNA U54. Lineage: Eukaryota; Metazoa; Chordata; Amphibia; Anura; Bufonidae. The transcript has a single exon. The record is from RefSeq and is a predicted model, not a curated record.